ACUACGGGUGGCUGCAGUGGGGAAUAUUGGGCAAUGGGCGCAAGCCUGACCCAGCAACGCCGCGUGAAGGAAGAAGGCUUUCGGGUUGUAAACUUCUUUUGACAGGGACGUAGCAAGUGACGGUACCUGACGAAUAAGCCACCGCUAACGACGUGCCAGCAGCCGCUGUAAUACGUAGGUGGCAAGCGUUAUCCGGAUUUACUGGGUGUAAAGGGCGUGUAGGCGGGGAGGUAAGUCAGAUGUGAAAAUCACUGGCUCAACCUGUGUACUGCAUUUGAAAUUGUUUUUCGUGAGUGCUGGAGAGGCAAUCGGAAUUCGGUGUGUAGCGGUGAAAUGCGUAGAUAUACCGAGGAACACCAGUGGCGAAGGCGGAUUGCUGGACAGUAACUGACGCUGAGGCGCGAAAGCGUGGGGAGCAAACAGGAUUAGAUACCCUGGUAGUC
This 443-nucleotide ribosomal RNA is filed under the name uncultured bacterium. Its description in RNAcentral is "partial 16S ribosomal RNA". It matches the Rfam family "Bacterial small subunit ribosomal RNA", at positions 338 to 795 of the family's 1533-position model. The record is from RNAcentral.